This 447-nucleotide ribosomal RNA is filed under the name uncultured bacterium. RNAcentral describes it as "bacterial SSU rRNA". It matches the Rfam family "Bacterial small subunit ribosomal RNA", at positions 330 to 794 of the family's 1533-position model. The record is from RNAcentral.
CCCAGACUCCUACGGGAGGCAGCAGUGGGGAAUAUUGCACAAUGGGGGAAACCCUGAUGCAGCGACGCCGCGUGAGCGAUGAAGUAUUUCGGUAUGUAAAGCUCUAUCAGCAGGGAAGAAGAUGACGGUACCUGACUAAGAAGCCCCGGCUAACUACGUGCCAGCAGCCGCGGUAAUACGUAGGGGGCAAGCGUUAUCCGGAUUUACUGGGUGUAAAGGGAGCGUAGACGGCGAUGCAAGCCAGAUGUGAAAGCCCGGGGCCCAACCCCGGGACUGCUCUUGGAACUGUGCGGCUGGAGUGCGGGAGAGGCAGGCGGAAUUCCUAGUGUAGCGGUGAAAUGCGUAGAUAUUAGGAGGAACACCAGUGGCGAAGGCGGCCUGCUGGACGGUGACUGACGCUGAGGCUCGAAAGCGUGGGGAGCAAACAGGAUUAGAUACCCUUGUAUA